UGAGCAAUCUGCCCUUCUCUUCGGAAUAAGCGUUGGAAACGACGUCUAAUGCCGAAUAUGACCUCCUUUCGCAUGAUCGGAGGUGGAAAGCUCCGGCGGAGAGGGAUGAGCUCGCGGCCUAUCAGCUAGUUGGUGUGGGUAAUGGCCCACCAAGGCGACGACGGGUAGCCCGGCCUGAGGAGGGUGACCGGCCACACGUGGGACUGAGACACCGGCCCAGACCUCCGUAACGGGAGCAGG
RNAcentral lists this ribosomal RNA (240 nucleotides) under uncultured bacterium. RNAcentral's name for it is "partial 16S ribosomal RNA". It matches the Rfam family "Bacterial small subunit ribosomal RNA", at positions 118 to 351 of the family's 1533-position model. The record is from RNAcentral.